Molecule: ribosomal RNA, 494 nt
Filed under: uncultured bacterium
Lineage: Bacteria
Description: partial 16S ribosomal RNA
Rfam family: Bacterial small subunit ribosomal RNA
Source: RNAcentral
GACGAACGCUGGCGGCGUGCUUAACACAUGCAAGUCGAACGGUGAAGCGCCUUCCUUUUUGGUGGGUGUGGAGGAGUGGCGAACGGGUGAGUAACACGUUAGUAACCUGCCCCCUUCUUCUGGAUAACCGCAUGAAAGUGUGGCUACUACGGGAUAUUCUGGGUCUGUCGCAUGAUGGGUCUGGGGAAGAUAUUGUUUCGGUUGUGGAUGGGCUCGCGGCCUAUCAGCUUGUUGGUGGGGUGAUGGCCUACCAAGGCGAUGAGGGGUAGCCGGCCUGAGAGGGUGGACGGUCACACUGGGGAGGAGACACGCAGCAGACUCCUAGAGGAGGCAGCAGUGGGGCAUCCGGCACGAUGGGAGCAAGCAUGAUGCAGCGACGCCGCGUGAGUGAUGGAGGCCGUAGGGUUGUGAACCGCUUUCGGGAGUGAAGCAGGCUUGCCUUGUCUGUGGGUGGGUUGACGGUAGCUGGAUAAGAAGCGCCGGCUAACUACGUG